RNAcentral lists this ribosomal RNA (290 nucleotides) under uncultured bacterium. RNAcentral describes it as "partial 16S ribosomal RNA". It matches the Rfam family "Bacterial small subunit ribosomal RNA", at positions 523 to 812 of the family's 1533-position model. The record is from RNAcentral.
AUACGUAGGGGGCAAGCGUUAUCCGGAUUUACUGGGUGUAAAGGGAGCGUAGACGGUUUGGCAAGUCUGAAGUGAAAGCCCAGGGCUUAACCCUGGGACUGCUUUGGAAACUGUUAAACUAGAGUGCAGGAGAGGUAAGUGGAAUUCCUAGUGUAGCGGUGAAAUGCGUAGAUAUUAGGAGGAACACCAGUGGCGAAGGCGGCUUACUGGACUGUAACUGACGUUGAGGCUCGAAAGCGUGGGGAGCAAACAGGAUUAGAUACCCUGGUAGUCCACGCUGUAAACGAUGA